GACGAACGCUGGCGGCGUGCUUUACACAUGCAAGUCGAGCGAUGAGAUCCCUUCGGGGAAGGAUUAGCGGCGAACGGGUGAGGAACACGUGAGGAAUCUGCCUUCAACACUGGGAUAACUCCGGGAAACCGGGGCUAAUACCGGAUACGAGACCUGCAGGCAUCUGCGGGUCUGGAAAGUUUUUCGGUUGAAGAUGACCUCGCGGCCUAUCAGCUUGUUGGUGAGGUAAUGGCUCACCAAGGCGACGACGGGUAGCCGGCCUGAGAGGGCGACCGGCCACACUGGGACUGAGACACGGCCCAGACUCCUACGGGAGGCAGCAGUGGGGAAUAUUGGGCAAUGGAGGGAACUCUGACCCAGCGACGCCGCGUGCGGGAUGAAGGCCUUCGGGUUGUAAACCGCUUUCAGCAAGGAAGAAGCGAAAGUGACGGUACUUGCAGAAGAAGCACCGGCUAACUAUGUGCCAGCAGCCGCGGUAAUACAUAGGGUGCAAGCGUUGUCCGGAAUUAUUGGGCGUAAAGAGCUCGUAGGUGGUUCGUCACGUCGGAUGUGAAAAUCUGGGGCUUAACCCCAGACCUGCAUUCGAUACGGGCGAGCUAGAGUGUGGUAGGGGAGACUGGAAUUCCUGGUGUAGCGGUGGAAUGCGCAGAUAUCAGGAGGAACACCAAUGGCGAAGGCAGGUCUCUGGGCCAUUACUGACACUGAGGAGCGAAAGCGUGGGGAGCGAACAGGAUUAGAUACCCUGGUAGUCCACGCCGUAAACGGUGGGCACUAGUUGUGGGAACCUUCCACGGUUUCUGCGACGCAGCUAGCGCAUUAAGUGCCCCGCCUGGGGAGUACGAUCGCAAGAUUA
Molecule: ribosomal RNA, 853 nt
Filed under: uncultured bacterium
Lineage: Bacteria
Description: bacterial SSU rRNA
Rfam family: Bacterial small subunit ribosomal RNA
Source: RNAcentral